UGAAGCUCUACUCCUGCUUUCUGGGAACAGAUUGUUUGUCUACUUCAACUGGCAAAGCUGAGUUGUCUCCAGAUUUGCUGGGCACGUCACCGUGGGAUCUGUUAGAGCUGCUAUUUGUUCCUCUCAGCUUCUCACAGAGGCUCUGGACAGCCAUCUGGAUCCAGCUGAUAACUUGGUCUCGGCACAAAGACCAAAACUAGUAGCAAGAUUGGCAGGAGUACAAGGAGGUGACUACAGCAGUCCCAGAUGUUAUUGGUUCUCCUGGUAUGUGGAACAAUAGAUGUUGAAAUUCCUCUCUCCAAAGACAGAGCGUUGGGCAGAAUGGUGCACAGAAUCCUCCUGCAACAUCAACAAAGAAUACAGUAAGGAUCUUAUCCAGUGCUCAGCUGGAUACUGGGAGUUCAAGAACUGUGUUCAGUGACAUAAAACUGAAACACCUACGCGAUACUGGAUGACGCCAACAGUGUUACAUAAAACUAGCCGCUCCAAUGUGAAAAUUGGUUCAGUGCAUCAAAUCUGCAAGAUCAGCACAGCUUUUGUUCAGUUCCAAAUUACCUCAAAAAGCAGCCAAGUGAACUGACCUGUCAUGGACAGAGGCACAAUGCAGCAGUGAAGACAGCUGGAAUAAUAACAAUGCUAAGAGUUUGCCAAACCUCAAGCAAUGCCACUGUAAAUCACUUAUCUUUAAUCAGAUUGUUUCUCCACCAGACCUUCACUAAUUGCACCCUUCUCACUAGUCACCACAGGAUCGCUAGCAAUGAAACAUUACUCAAUCCAUUCCAAAAAAAAAGCAGUAUGUGACUUCUUAGU
Molecule: long non-coding RNA, 810 nt
Organism: Lagopus leucura (white-tailed ptarmigan)
Lineage: Eukaryota; Metazoa; Chordata; Aves; Galliformes; Phasianidae
Exons: 6
Source: RefSeq, a predicted model, not a curated record